This 22-nucleotide microRNA is filed under the name Picea abies (Norway spruce). Its description in RNAcentral is "pab-miR482b". Its record names the gene pab-miR482b. The record is from miRBase by way of RNAcentral. Lineage: Eukaryota; Viridiplantae; Streptophyta; Pinopsida; Pinales; Pinaceae. RNAcentral also lists the same sequence under 1 other name.
UCUUCCCUAUUCCUCCCAUUCC